GAAACCCUAGUUAUAAGAAAAGAGAACUUAGGUUUUUUUUUUUUUAUCCCGAAACCCUUCUCCUCACCUCACGCGAGCGUCGGCGAUUCUCCUCUCAGGCGAAGACGCGGCUAGAAGCUAGGGUUUCUCCGGCGGCCGGCGAGGGUUUCUCUGAGGGGCUCUUCACGGGGUUGUGAUCCUUUCGUCGAGGAGGACCCGUGAGCACGAAGAGGAGGCCAAGAUCUCAGCCAACCGAAACCUUAGAGCUCUUCUCCUUCGGUUUGAAUCCAAGAAUCAUUAUAAAGGAAAGGAAAAGAUUUCGCAAAGGAAGGCGACGAGGUGGCGCGGAUGGUGUGUGAUGCAAGGACUAUGGAAGACAUUUGGGACGUUAUUAAGUUUUCCGUAUUUUAGUAAUUAAUAAACAUUUGGAGUUGUAUUUUAAGUUCAUGUCAGUUGAGAUUAUUUUUGUUUAGAUUGCAUGGAGAUGAGUUAUGUUUAAUAAGUAGAUAUUUUGAUGUUUGUCACUUA
This is a long non-coding RNA of Zingiber officinale, 507 nucleotides long. RefSeq lists it as uncharacterized. NCBI's taxonomy places the organism in Eukaryota, Viridiplantae, Streptophyta, Magnoliopsida, Zingiberales, Zingiberaceae. The record is from RefSeq and is a predicted model, not a curated record. The transcript has 2 exons.